This is a long non-coding RNA of Manduca sexta (tobacco hornworm), 487 nucleotides long. RefSeq lists it as uncharacterized. Lineage: Eukaryota; Metazoa; Arthropoda; Insecta; Lepidoptera; Sphingidae. The record is from RefSeq and is a predicted model, not a curated record. The transcript is spliced from 3 exons.
GGGUCAAUUCCAUAGGAGGCAAUAUACUGACUUUACAAAAUGAAUUCAUUCAUAAAUAUCGGCGUGUUUGUAACACUCAUUUUGCAGAAAAGUAUUAUUGCCGCAACAAUCGAAUCAGCAAACUAGCAAUAACAACUUUAUUGUUGCCUGACUCUUCACUGAUUGAAAAUAGGCUACUGAGGCAGUUGCAAAAUGUGGUUGGAUCUUUGCCAUCAACCUCACAAGGAGGCACAGAUUUCAUUACAACAUUUACAGAAGAAAUAAUCCCAGUGCAGCAGUCUCGAAAUUUACCUAAAUCUUUACCAUCAGGCUUACAAGGUAAAAUAUAAUUAUAGUCAAAUUCCAUGUAUGACAUCACACUUUAUGCAAAGAUAGCUAUUUGUAUACAUUUGUGGAACAGGGCAAGUGGUUUUGGAAUCCAGCUCGAAAGACCGACUCGAAAGUCUUCUUCUUUCCUCAUCUUUCUUUCAUGGGCCUCGCAAGGGGC